RNAcentral lists this ribosomal RNA (492 nucleotides) under uncultured bacterium. RNAcentral's name for it is "partial 16S ribosomal RNA". It matches the Rfam family "Bacterial small subunit ribosomal RNA", at positions 29 to 507 of the family's 1533-position model. The record is from RNAcentral.
AGUGAACGCUGGCGGUAGGCCUAACACACGCAAGUCGAACGGCAGCACAGUAAGAGCUUGCUCUUACGGGUGGCGAGUGGCGGACGGGUGAGGAAUACAUCGGAAUCUACUUUUUCGUGGGGGAUAACGUAGGGAAACUUACGCUAAUACCGCAUACGACCUACGGGUGAAAGCAGGGGAUCUUCGGACCUUGCGCGAUUGAAUGAGCCGAUGUCGGAUUAGCUAGUUGGCGGGGUAAAGGCCCACCAAGGCGACGAUCCGUAGCUGGUCUGAGAGGAUGAUCAGCCACACUGGAACUGAGACACGGUCCAGACUCCUACGGGAGGCAGCAGUGGGGAAUAUUGGACAAUGGGCGCAAGCCUGAUCCAGCCAUACCGCGUGGGUGAAGAAGGCCUUCGGGUUGUGAAGCCCUUUUGUUGGGAAAGAAAAGCAGCAGGUUAAUACCCCGCUGUUCUGACGGUACCCAAAGAAUAAGCACCGGCUAACUUCGUG